RNAcentral lists this ribosomal RNA (751 nucleotides) under Actinobacillus pleuropneumoniae. Its description in RNAcentral is "bacterial SSU rRNA". It matches the Rfam family "Bacterial small subunit ribosomal RNA", at positions 161 to 909 of the family's 1533-position model. Lineage: Bacteria; Pseudomonadati; Pseudomonadota; Gammaproteobacteria; Pasteurellales; Pasteurellaceae. The record is from RNAcentral.
AGCUAAUACCGCGUAAUAUCUAUGGAUUAAAGGGUGGGACUUUCGGGCCACCUGCCAUAAGAUGAGCCCAAGUGGGAUUAGGUAGUUGGUUAGGUAAAGGCUGACCAAGCCGACGAUCUCUAGCUGGUCUGAGAGGAUGACCAGCCACACUGGAACUGAGACACGGUCCAGACUCCUACGGGAGGCAGCAGUGGGGAAUAUUGCACAAUGGGGGGAACCCUGAUGCAGCCAUGCCGCGUGAAUGAAGAAGGCCUUCGGGUUGUAAAGUUCUUUCGGUAGCGAGGAAGGUAUCAAAUUUAAUAGAUUUGGUAAUUGACGUUAACUACAGAAGAAGCACCGGCUAACUCCGUGCCAGCAGCCGCGGUAAUACGGAGGGUGCGAGCGUUAAUCGGAAUAACUGGGCGUAAAGGGCACGCAGGCGGUUGAUUAAGUGAGAUGUGAAAGCCCCGGGCUUAACCUGGGAAUUGCAUUUCAUACUGGUCAACUAGAGUACUUUAGGGAGGGGUAGAAUUCCACGUGUAGCGGUGAAAUGCGUAGAGAUGUGGAGGAAUACCGAAGGCGAAGGCAGCCCCUUGGGAAUGUACUGACGCUCAUGUGCGAAAGCGUGGGGAGCAAACAGGAUUAGAUACCCUGGUAGUCCACGCUGUAAACGCUGUCGAUUUGGGGAUUGGGCUUUAAGUCUGGUGCCCGAAGCUAACGUGAUAAAUCGACCGCCUGGGGAGUACGGCCGCAAGGUUAAAACUCAAAUGAA